This 503-nucleotide ribosomal RNA is filed under the name uncultured bacterium. Its description in RNAcentral is "partial 16S ribosomal RNA". It matches the Rfam family "Bacterial small subunit ribosomal RNA", at positions 30 to 523 of the family's 1533-position model. The record is from RNAcentral.
AUUGAACGCUGGCGGCAGGCUUAACACAUGCAAGUCGAGCGGGGUGAUGGUGCUUGCACUAUCACUUAGCGGCGGACGGGUGAGUAAUGCUUAGGAAUCUGCCUAUUAGUGGGGGACAACAUCUCGAAAGGGAUGCUAAUACCGCAUACGUCCUACGGGAGAAAGCAGGGGAUCACUUGUGACCUUGCGCUAAUAGAUGAGCCGAAGUCGGAUUAGCUAGUUGGUGGGGUAAAGGCCUACCAAGGCGACGAUCUGUAGCGGGUCUGAGAGGAUGAUCCGCCACACUGGGACUGAGACACGGCCCAGACUCCUACGGGAGGCAGCAGUGGGGAAUAUUGGACAAUGGGGGGAACCCUGAUCCAGCCAUGCCGCGUGUGUGAAGAAGGCCUUAUGGUUGUAAAGCACUUUAAGCGAGGAGGAGGCUCUUUUGGUUAAUACCCAAGAUGAGUGGACGUUACUCGCAGAAUAAGCACCGGCUGACUCUGUGCCAGCAGCCGCCGCUG